GAGCUGGCUGGUGCCAUUUCCCUCCACCACCCCUCAGCAUAAACACAGAGCCACCCGAAGGAAGCAGCUCAGCACUGACACUGGCUGUCCAACUUGCUUACAUGAAACCCCACACUCUUGAGCUCUUAGGGCUGCCUUCUUAGUCAAGCUUGCCUCAGUCCAAGCGUGGUGGGCCACUACCCCAGAAGACCAGCACAAACCCCUGCCCACACCACAUCUCCCCACCAGAGAGUUCUGCAGCGCCUCUGUGGAAGUGGUAUCAGGAUUCAUGUCAUAAGCAGACCAGAGCACAUCGAGUUAAAACUCACCACAUUCAGGCCAGGAACCAAACACUGUCCACAGCAGGCAAGGAGAGCCUCUGCAGACGACUGGCCUAAAAGAUAGAACAGCCAAAACACAACAGCAGAGUGCAGGCAGCACACACUGGAGACACUCCCUGAAGCACCAGGCUCUGGGUACUACAUGACGUCUUUCUCAUAAAGGCCAUUACCAGGGGCAGGAAACCUAACUGGCUUUUCUAACACACAGGAAAAGGCAGAGACUAGACAAAAUGCCAAGACAGGGUAAUUUAUCCCAAUGAAAGAACAAGAUAAGGCCACGGCCAGAGAUCAAAGCAAAAGAGAUAUAAGUAACAUAACUGAUGGGAAAUUUAAACAACAAUCAUAAGAAUACUCACUGGGCUUGAGAAAAGAAUAGAAGAUAUCAGUGAGACCCUUACUACAGAGAUAAAGGAGUUGAAAAAGAAUCAGAAAUGAAAAAUGCAAUAAAUGAGAUUGGAAACAGGCUUGAUGCGAUGACAAGCAGGCUGGAAGAAACAGAGGAAUGAAUUACUGAGCGAGAAGAGAAAAUAAGGGAAAAUAAAGAAGCUGAAAAAAGAGAGAAAGAAUAUGGAACAUGAGAGUAGACUUAGGGAACUUAGUGACUCCAUCAAACAUAGUAAUAUUUGUAUCCAUAGGUGUUCCAGAAGAGGAAGAGAGAGAAAAGGGGGCAGAAAAUUUAUUUCAAGAAAUAAUAGAAGAAAACUUCCCUAAUCUGGGGAAGGAAACAGAUAUCCAGAUUCAAGAGGCACAGAGAACUCCCAACAAAUCAAUAAAAGCAGGUCAACACUAAGACAUGUUGUAAUUAAAUUUGCAAAAUAUAGUAAUAAAGAAAAAAAAUCUUAAAAUCAACAAGACAAAAGUCCCUAACUUACAAGGGAAAACCCAUAAGGCUAGCUGAUUUCUCAACAGAAAUAUGGCAAGCCAGAAGAGAGUGGCAUGAUAUAUUCAAAAGUGCUGAAUGGGAAAAAUCUGCAGCCAAAAAUACUCCAUCCAGCAAAGCUAUCGUUCAGAAUAGAAGGAGAGAAAAAGCUUCCCUAACAAAAAUGAAAGGAAUCUGUGGCCACUAAACCAGCUCUGCAAGAAAUAUUAAAGGGGACUGUGAGUGCAAAGGAGAGACCAAAAGUGACAAAGGCGAGAAAGGAUCAGAGAAAAUCUCCAGAAACGAGAAAAUAAGUAAUAAAAUGGCAAUAAAUACAUGUCUAUCAAUAAUUACUUUGAAUGUAAAUGGACUAAACACUCCAAUCAAAAGACACAGGGUGUCAAAACAGAUAAAAAAAACUCCUUUAUAUGCUGCCUACAAGAGACUCAUUUUAGACCUAAAGACACCUGCAGAUUGAAAGUGAGGAGGCAGAGAAGUAUUUAUCACGCAAAUGGAUGUCAAAAGAAAGCCAGAGUACCAAUGCAUCUAUUGAACAAACCAGACUUACAAAGACUAUAAAAACACAAAGGCUAUAAAAACAGACAAAGGGGACAACCCAAUAAGAAGAUAUAACAAGAGAGGACAACCCUGUGGCUGGGACUGUUGCAGCCUCGUCUGCCCGGCGAGGGAUCCAAGCCAAACUAUCAUUGUCAGAAUGUCGGGCAAAGACCGAAUUGAAAUCUUUCCCUCACGCAUGGCACAGACCAUCAUGAAGGCUCAAUUAAAAGAAGCACAGACAAGUCGAAACCUCCUGAAGAAAAAAUCUGAUGCCUUAACUCUUCGAUUUCGACAGAUCCUAAAGAAGAUAAUAGAGACUAAAAUGUUGAUGGGUGAAGUGAUGAGAGAGGCUGCCUUUUCACUUGCUGAGGCCAAGUUCACAGCAGGGGAUUUCAGCACCACAGUUAUCCAAAAUGUAAAUAAAGCCCAAGUGAGGAUCUGAGCUAAGAAAGAUAACGCAGCAGGUGUUACUUUGCCAGUGUUUGAACAUUACCAUGAAGGAACUGACAGUUAUGAACUGACUGGUUUAGCCAGAGGUGGGGAGCAGCUGGUGAAAUUAAAGAGGAACUAUGCCAAAGCAGUGGAGUUACUGAUGGAACUAGCUUCGCUUCAGACUUCCUUUGUUACUUUGGAUGAAGCCAUUAAGAUAAGCGACAAGCGUGUCAAUGCCAUUGAACGCGUCAUCAUUCCCCGUAUUGAACAUAUCCUUGCUUAUAUCAUCACAGAGCUGGAUGAGAGCGAGCGAGAAGAGUUCUAUAGAUUAAAGAAAAUACAGGAGAAGAAAAAGAUUCUCAAGGAAAAAUCGGAGAAAGACUUGGAGCAACGGAGGGCAGCUGGUGAGGUGAUGGAGCCUGCUAAUCUUUUGGCUGAAGAGAAGGAUGAGGAUCUUCUGUUUGAAUAAUCUUUCCUGCUCUGGUUCUUUCAUAAGCCCUAACAUGGCACCAUUUUAAUUCACGGUGUGUAGGUUUGGUAUGUGUGGCUAUUUAUUUUUUGGCCUAAGAAUUUCACUGGUGGUAAAAUUUCCCUGGAUGUUGGUUAUGGGACUGCCUUUGCAAAAUCCUAAUUCAGCAACCAUUUAUCACAUGAGAUUUGUAGACCCUGCCCAGGAACCUGUAGAAUUUAUUCAGCAGAAGCAGUACCCUGCUCCAUGCACUUCUGUUCAAGUGAUCUGCUUUCCAAGCAUGUUAGGAAAUCCCCCUUAGGAAACAGCAGUGGCCUCAGGCCAGCUAUGGCUGUGGCCGCCUGUGUUCCCACCUGCUCCAACACCAACACCGUGGCACUGUUGUCUGAGAUCGCUGCGGCCAUCCUGUGGAACCCUGGUACUUCUCUCCAGCUUUAUGAAACCUUCACUAUUUGCCUUGCCUGACAGGUCUCUGUCCUGUUGGUUAUGGGAGUUCUGCCAAUUUUAAUGUGAUUAUGGUAUAAAGAGUAAAAUGAUUUAAAAAUGAAAAAA
RNA transcript from Mirounga angustirostris (Northern elephant seal), 3190 nucleotides. It is a transcript of the gene named V-type proton ATPase subunit D-like, with no coding region annotated. The record is from RefSeq and is a predicted model, not a curated record. The transcript has a single exon. Lineage: Eukaryota; Metazoa; Chordata; Mammalia; Carnivora; Phocidae.